UAGAUGGCGACCGGCGCACGGGUGAGUAACACGUAUCCAACCUGCCGAUAACUCGGGGAUAGCCUUUCGAAAGAAAGAUUAAUACCCGAUGGCAUAAUUAGACCGCAUGGUCUUAUUAUUAAAGAAUUUCGGUUAUCGAUGGGGAUGCGUUCCAUUAAGCAGUUGGUGAGGUAACGGCUCACCAAACCUUCGAUGGAUAGGGGUUCUGAGAGGAAGGUCCCCCACAUUGGAACUGAGACACGGUCCAA
Molecule: ribosomal RNA, 248 nt
Filed under: uncultured bacterium
Lineage: Bacteria
Description: partial 16S ribosomal RNA
Rfam family: Bacterial small subunit ribosomal RNA
Source: RNAcentral